AGCGCCUGGGGGUAAGAUGGCUGCCGCCGAGGCCGCGCCGUGCGUUGUGGAGGCAGGUGGGGGCUCCGUUGAGGCGAGGCAGGGGGGGUCUCUGGUGGCUCUGCUCUCCCAGCCUGUGAACGGCACCCGCCACCUGAGGGCCUUGCUGGGCCUGGCGCUGCCCAGAACCCCUUCCCCCCGGACCCCGGUCUCGGUGGGUUGGUGAGAGCUGUUCUUGUGACUCGGGGCCGCAUUGCAAACUCCCGCGGCCCCGGCGCCUUAGAGGAAGGAGUUCACAGGCUCGCGGGGGAGUUCUGGAAGGAUCCUUCCUGCAGGGGCUGAUUCCUAACGUAAGGAAAAGAACUCAAGAAUUUGAAGUCCUAUGCGUUCUGGGGAUGGUUGGUGUGUAAUGAAGUUCAGCAGGAUGUCCCUCUAGGUCAACAGGGCUAUGAUCUUGGUGAUGGAAGAGGAACGUUCUGAGGACAACAGGUCCAGGAUGGUGCUGUGACUAUGGGCUGACAUGGAGAUUGAAGCUAACGUGUUUUCCUGAGGACAAGCACCAGGCUGCCUUCCCUAUGAGUCACCUAACUCAGUGGGGUCAGUGCUCUGUACUCAUCUGGUACUCAGUUGGAGUGAAUAAUUGAUAAACAACGUUGUCUACUCUUCCUCUAGAGGUCAGAAGUCCAAAGUGGGUUCUCGCUGUGUGAGCAAGGCUCCAUUCCUCGUGGAGGCUCUAAGGGAGAGUCUGUUUCUUUGUGUUUUCCAACUCCUAGAGAUUGACCUCAUUCCUUGGCUUCCGAUCCCUUCUAUCUUCAAGCCAGCCAUGGCCAGGAUGGCUCUGAACUCUUUGGGCGGACAGUUCGUGUCCGUUUAGCCAACCCAGUGAGAACUGAGGGAGGCUCAUCCAGACCAGUGUGGUCAGAUGAUUACUGGUGAAGAUUUCUGGGAAGACUCUUUGAAAAGAAUAAAGAGGAGGAAGGAAUGGAGCCUCCCAAAGUGGAAACCCAGGGGGUGACAAAACUGAGCACCGGGCGAUCAAGUAACCUGUCCAACAUCAUGCGGCUCAGAAGGGUGGAGCCAAGAUUGGAACGAAGGCUGUGUGCCUGCCACUGGGGUCCGUGUGCCUCUCGCAUUGGUGGCCGACCUCCCUUCUCCCCUCCCCCACCUUUGCCGCUGGAUCGCCAGCUCCUCAGGGACCUUACUUAACAUCUCCAGCACUUGGCCUGAAAGCUCAGCGUGCACACAUUGACCAAUUAAUCCACACCACAGAGCAUAUAAGCAUGAGGAACAGCAAAGGGAGAGGGAGAAGCAGACUGCCUAUUGAGCAGGGAGCCUGACACGGGGCUCUAUCCCAGGACGUGGGAUCAUGACCUGAGCCGAAGGCAGACGCUUAACCGACUAAGCCACCAGAUGUCUCUGAACUGGGGUCUGCAGGUGUGGAGAGCUGCACACUGCAGGCCAGGGUGUGGUUGUGUGACCGUAGUCCAGGGUGCAGCGUGCUGGUGCAUCUCAGGGCGAGUGUGAUGAGGUCCUGAGCCUGUGGAAUGGGGCUCAAGGUAGCCGGUGCUGGGGGUUCCUGUCACUGGGGGUCGGGCCGGGGACCAGGGCCCUGGCCUCUGCCUUCCGCCUGCCCUUCCACGGCCCAGGGCCUUCCCCAUCAGCACCUGCCACAGCCCGCUUGCUGCAUUUGGGUCCUUGGUGUGUGUUCAGAGAACUCGGUCUCCUGGGCCGCCUGGCAGACUCCGUUAGUAGAGCCUGCAACUCUCGAUCUCGGCGUUGGGAGUUCAAGCCCCAUGUUGGGUGUAGAGGUCACUUAAAUAAAAAUAAAACUUAAAAAAAAAAAGCUCGCUCUCCUACCUGGGGAGUCAGAGUGCUCUCCAAACUAAUGAUUUCUGCGCCCAGGGAGAGCCCGCUGCCAAAAAGGCCCAGUCAAAUCCUCAGGUGUACAUGGACAUCAAGAUCAGGAACAAGGGGAUCCCUGGGUGGCACAGUGGUUUAGCGCCUGCCUUUGGCCCAGCGCGAGAUCCUGGAGACCCGGGAUCGAAUCCCACGUCGGGCUCCCGGUGCAUGGAGCCUGCUUCUCCCUCUGGCUAUGUCUCUGCCUCUCUCUCUCUCUCUCUGUGACUAUCAUAAAUAAAUAAAAAAUUAAAAAAAAAAAAAAAAAAAGAUCAGGAACAAGCCGGCCAGCCGCAUCCAGAUGCUGCUGCGUUUAGACGUUGUUCCCGUGACAGCAGGUGAGCAGGACUCUGGCCCGAGGCUGGUGGUGGAGCCGGCUGGGGAGGAAGCUGCCUGGAAUCUUGAGACUUCAACACCUUUUAUCUGAGCCCUUCUGAGGCAUCUGGGACCCCAGCCUCUUGUCACAUGAGCCUGCGCAGGCAUUCUUGAAGGCUUAGGACCAUUAGAAAGAUAGUUACAAGUUAUAAAUUGUAUUUUUUUUUUUGUAGUUUGUUUUGAUAUUUUGCAGACACACAGAUGCUUGGAAUAUUCUGUAGGGAUAGUACGAGGAUCUCUUACAUAUGCUUUAUCCACUCACUACGUUACUUUUUUGCCCUCUAUACACUUUUCCAUUUUUUUUUUCUUUUUUUUUCACUUUUCCAUUUAAUUUACAUACUCGGAUAUAUUUCUUCCUCCCCCCCCAUCCCACUCCCACCCCGGCUGUGCCAAUUGAGAGGAAGUUGAAGACAUCGUGCCUCUUGACCCCUAAAUAGUUAAGCAUGUAUUUGCUAAGAACAAGAGUGCUUCCUUACGUGAUCACAGCACGCCCGCUGAAGUCUGCACGCUAUUUCCUGAUCUUUGGGCCGAGUUCAAGUUUCAGCACUUCCCUAGCAUCGCCCUUUCUGGGGACUGUCAUGGUCCUUCCCUGGUGAGGACUCCCGCUGCAUGGGCACGGUCGAGUCUGUAGCCUCCCUCUGUUUGGAACAGAGUCUCGGUGUCUUUCUUGAUCUUGGGGAUUUGAAGAGAACAGGCCUGCUCUGCAGGGGGUUUCUUAGUCUCUGCCUGGUGCUUCCCCACGUGAACGUUCUGGUAGGAACACCUCGUGUGAGGAAGCGCACGACGACGACACUUCUAGCAUUCGUGAGGUCAACUUAGGUCACUUGCUUGAGGAGAGGGCUGCCAGCUUUCUCCACUGGAAGGUGACUAUUUUUAGAGCUCUAAAUUAAAAGCUAACAUUUAUUUUCUCCUCACUACCUCCAGCUCAUGCCUUGCCUUCGAGGUGACUACCAUUCACAGGCCUGUUCUCCAUGGCCAACUCCGGCCCCAACACCAACAGCUCCCAGUUCUUCCUGACGUGUGACAAGACGGAUUGGCUAAAUGGCAAGCACGUGGUGUUCGGGGGAGGUCAUGGAAGGCCUGGAUGUCCUGCGGCAGAUCGAGGCAGCAAGGACGGGAAGCCGAAGCAGAAGGUGAUCAUCGCCGACUGUGGGGAGUAUGUGUGAGUCUGCACGCCCCGUGUCUGCACCGCCCUGCGUCCCGGAUUGGUCACCCCGUCUCAGGGCAUCGGUCCCCUCUGGGCAAGCAGGGCUUUGUGUCCCGGCUCCUGGGGUCUGCUUGGAGCAGCUCUUGUGCCGAGGCGGCCCGGGCUUCCUCUGGCUCUCUCCCCGGGGCAGCCUCUGCUGCUGCGGCUGCUCCUGGGCCCACCCGUGUGGCUCCCGGAUGUCGCUUCUGCUAAAAUAAAUCCUAGUUCUUGUCCUGCUGCCUGUCAGCCAGGUCCAGGUGUUUACAAAGGUUGCGGCUGUGCCUGGACCUCCUCCUGCGACAGAGCAGAGCACCGCGCUGCUGUGUGCCUCCCGGCCGGGCCAAGACCCUGAGUGUGCACCCUUGUCAGGCGGCCGCAGGGCUGCAGAGGCCGAGCUGGUGCAGGUUGAGUAAAUCAGAUCACCAAGCAGCGCGCAGAGCACGAUCCUACCCUGUAAACUACCCGUAAUGUCUACCUGGAGACAGACGUGUGCGUGAGGAGACCAGAAGGAGGGCCAAACGGACUCGCAGCUCUGGGUGAGAAGAGACCGUCCGCAGAGCUCCAGCUCAGCAUUCCGGAGGCCUGGGGACGGUGUGGGGACACAGCAGCCCCGGCAGGGGCAUGCCCCGUGCCACCCGAGGUCCCUGGGCCGGGAGCGCACCAGGCCCACCUCAGCCGAGGCGGGACCAGUGUCGCUUCCAACACAGGGGCACCUGCUGGAUGUGCUCUGGGAGGAGUGGCCUCGAGUGCAAGGCCGCCGGGGAGGCCCAGAUGGGCACAUUCCCGUAAAGCAACACCCGUUGACCCCAGCGGCCUUGCCAGGACAGAGCCAACGCCCCGAGGAAAGCCCUCCAACCUGCAGGGACCUCCUACGUCACUGGAACCAGCCGCAGAGCCGAGAGUCCAGGCCGGGUCUGCUCCCCGACCCACAGCCCCUGGUCCUGUGGCAUUUCGGGUGUUUCUUGAAGCACGUUACCCACCGUCCUCCACAGCGACUCACGGACGGAAGGCCCGGUGGGCCGGCGGGGCCUCAGGUGAAGGGCGCAUGGGGCGAUGCCUGGUCAGCGCCCCUACGUGGCUGUUCCUCUGAGGCCAACCCCUGCGCCCCCGCCUUGACCGCAACCUGGGCGGCAGGAUGACGUUGUUGCUGCUGUCGUAGUAGAGCACGGAGGUGGCGCUCAGCUUGGUGGGGGCACAGCACGCCUUGGGGACCGCAUCCGGCUUCAUCAGGUGCACCUGGCCAGACGGGGCGGCAGGCAGAGGCAUGAACACGGGGCUUCCCCGAGCGCCCACCCCCUGCGCCCUCCCCACCUGCAGCCGAGGCGGGUGCUGAUGUGGAGACGUGCCCCACCCUGUCCCCGUUGCCCCUUCCCCGCCCCACUGCCCUCAGGGCACCCCCUGGGCCCCGGCCGGCUCCCCUCAGACGGGACAGCCCAGCACACGGUGCCCCUCCAGGUGCCCUCCAUGCCCCUCUCUGUGCCUCUGUGAUGUGCCCCCCCCUUAGCCGUUCGUGGUCUGUCUCCCUCCCACGUGCGAGCUGGUGAUGGUCACAGGCCUGGAGACGGCCCAGCAGCCUAGGCCCGCCCCUGGGGUGUGCAACGCGCUUCUCCCGCAAAGCGCUUCCCACCCUGGAGCCCACCUCUAAGGCCACGACUGUCCUGGACAGACCAGGACUGAGGCCCGGGACCCGGGGGUGGCACAAGGCUCCGCGCGGGGCGGUGGGACCUGGGCCCAGCGCACUGACCUCUUGCCCCCCCCCGCCCCGGCCCUGCUGCCAGGAACGAGCCCAGGGCAGUGGCCUUUCAGCCUCCGAAAAAAUAACGCGCUGCACCGAGAGGACGGGCUGCAGCGCCAGCGGCCGGGCAGGGGCCACAUGCAGGGGGCCUGGGGGGGAGGCUGCACGGGUGAGGCGGCCUCCCCGCAGCCCCGGCCUCCAGCCCUGGCAGGGGCGCCGAGCGGG
Molecule: long non-coding RNA, 5396 nt
Organism: Canis lupus familiaris (dog)
Lineage: Eukaryota; Metazoa; Chordata; Mammalia; Carnivora; Canidae
Exons: 13
Source: RefSeq, a predicted model, not a curated record